RNAcentral lists this ribosomal RNA (427 nucleotides) under uncultured bacterium. RNAcentral describes it as "partial 16S ribosomal RNA". It matches the Rfam family "Bacterial small subunit ribosomal RNA", at positions 355 to 774 of the family's 1533-position model. The record is from RNAcentral.
UAGGGAAUCUUCCGCAAUGGGCGAAAGCCUGACGGAGCAACGCCGCGUGAGUGAUGAAGGUCUUAGGAUCGUAAAACUCUGUUAUUAGGGAAGAACAAACGUGUAAGUAACUGUGCACGUCUUGACGGUACCUAAUCAGAAAGCCACGGCUAACUACGUGCCAGCAGCCGCGGUAAUACGUAGGUGGCAAGCGUUAUCCGGAAUUAUUGGGCGUAAAGCGCGCGUAGGCGGUUUUUUAAGUCUGAUGUGAAAGCCCACGGCGCAACCGUGGAGGGUCAUUGGAAACUGGAAAACUUGAGUGCAGAAGAGGAAAGUGGAAUUCCAUGUGUAGCGGUGAAAUGCGCAGAGAUAUGGAGGAACACCAGUGGCGAAGGCGACUUUCUGGUCUGUAACUGACGCUGAUGUGCGAAAGCGUGGGGAUCAAACA